CAGCAACAGAUUGUCCUAAUACCAAUAUAUGAGAACCUAGAACUGACCAGAAGGGAGGAUGUGGCUCAGUGGUUAAGGACUUCUGGGUUCAAUCCCUAGGAACUAUAUAUAUAUAUAUUGGGGGGGGGGCACAAUAGACAAGCAAAUUGGUCAGUAUGGGCCAUUAUUUAUGGUAAAAAUAUAUUCAGACUUCUUACUCUAAAGUAAGAAAAAUAAUAGUUUUUUCAAUCUAUAAAAUAUAGUAUAUGGCUGUUACACGUGGUAAAUGCUAUGGAAAUAUGCAAAUAUGCAAGAGUUAACAGAAUAAGAGGUAUCAGGAGUGUCCAGACAAGGUAUAAAGGCCAACCAGGUGGGUCAGUGUGGACAGCAUUUAAGAUAAGAUUUGAGCAUAAUGUACAGUGGAAGGAAGUGAGAGACUUAGCCAAGCUGGUAUCCAGGAAAAGGGUGUGGCACCCAGAAGGAAGGGGAGAGCAGAGCAGGAGCUUGCUGGGCAUGCUGAAGGGACCUCAGGAGGCCAGUAUGCAUGGCUGGGUAUUAUCCAGAGCUCGGCCCUUGUCCCUGGUGCUCAUCUAAUAACAAGGACAUAGUUUUAAGAAAAGGGAAAAUAAGUUUUAUUGCUUUCCUAGCAAAGGAGACACACAGGGAGUCCUGUCCCAGAGGCUGAGAUUCUGUCCAUCACCCGGAGCAGGGGGUUUUGAAGUGGCAAUUCAAAGCCCAGAAUCCCCACACUGUGUGGAGUCUGACUUGGUUCCUGCAAUAGGUGUGUGCUCAAGGACAGAUCACUCUGCCUAGGAUGGGGAAGAAAGAUAAUCUGUUUUCCCCAAGGUUAGGGAGGGGGAGAGAGAGGAAGAGAAAGAAACAUGUCUAUUUUAAAAUAAGUCUCAGUGGCAGAGCUGCAAGGGCUCCGUCCAAAGCACAAGUGGACACAGUUCCAGGGCAAAUGAUGGGGAGGAAAAGGAAAUGAGGUCAAAGGAGAGGGGUGCCAGAACACAUGGGGCAGUGCUUCUCAAACUGAAAUCCCAGCACAAGGCCCAGCUUUUCACCUUCACAUGCUUCCAGGUGAUCUGAGGGAUAGUUCUAAAUUAACAUACAUGUGAAUCUCUCUCAAUGCUGAAGUAUUUCAGAAGAGAUAUAUAAACAAUGGAACAGGAUGUUUGCCCCAAAUCUGUCUCCUUUCUGGAGCAAGAUUUGAAGUUGAGAAGCAAUUUACACUUCAAAGGGUGCUGGCACCUGGAAGGUUUGCAUCAGAAAUCGGUACUUCAGGGACAGCUAGUAUAAGCACUUCAGCUAUCUCUUAGGUCAAUAUUAGUGUCUUAAAGAUGUUAAAGUGAAUUUUCAUUCCCUCUGCUUUCUGAUUGUCAUGUCUGAACAGCCUUCCUCCUCCAUACCCCUCCACCAUGACGUGCCUCACCUCGACCCCGAUCUAUGGAAUCAGCUGACCAUGCACUGAACCUCCGAAACCAGUAAUAUAAAUAAAUGUGUUUAAAGAAUUUAUCAGAAGACCUAUGUUUUACUGAACAGACAGAUAAGGAUGGUGGGAACAUGAGAUUAAGAGAAUAAUUCUCUAUAAUGGCCCACUGUGCUGACCCCUACACGCUUCAUUGACUAAGAAGCAAUUUACCUUCAGCCCUGACCAGCCUAAAUGGAAUAUCAUAUUCCUCAGCAAACUACCUAUUCUCUGUGGGAGAAAUGCAGGCCCAUAAUAAUGUUGAUAAGAGGAACCUAGGUUACCCAGAAGGAGGAGACUUUUGUAACAGAUCCUGAACUCUGGGAGAUAAGGAUAGUUUCUCCUAACUAUAACUUCUGUAAGAAUGUAUGGUUAAGAAUCCAAUUAUGGGCCAAGUGACCUAAAUUGCCAUGACAGCGGGGACUUAAAAGUCUGAUGUCACUCUGCUGUCAGUCAAAAGUCAAGAGAUAGACUUGGGUGGGACUUUGAAACUUCUUUGGGACCCCCAAUAAAACUGGAGGGUGGGAGAGUCACAUUGUCCCUCUCCUCUCUGAGUGGUCUCACCCUCUCCCUUUAGAGUGUCCCCUUCCCUUUUCCUCUCCCUUCAAUAAACUCAUGCCUAUUACUCUGAGAGACAUAUCUGAAAUCCUUAUGACUUUUGAUCGCAAGAAUUGGGGUUUGGAGAGGGGGUCUUUGCAGUCCUCGGUUUCUUAGAAUGCCCCAGCUUCUUAACACAAGGAGAAACCACCCAGCUGAAACUCGGAAACUGGCAUGGGAUCUCGAUAAAGGCAACUGAAUCCAAUGGAGCUGAGAUGUUUAGACCUGAGAAGGUAAAUAAUAUCACAAGUUGUCAGACUCCAGAACCGUGCAGAGGAGAGCAGAGCACUCAGUGGAUCAGGAAGAUGAGCUCCUCUGAAGUAAAACAGGAAGGCUAAGAAGGAGCCACUCCUCAUGGCCAUGCAUCUUGACAAAGGCAGGUCAGGGUGCAGGAGGCACACCUGCUUGAAGAAGACCAGCUCUUGACUAUUGUGCUGCCCUAGUAAGGCUUCAUGAGUUGGUGAUGUCUCCAGAGUUCCC
This 2524-nucleotide long non-coding RNA is filed under the name Marmota monax (woodchuck). The record is from RNAcentral. Lineage: Eukaryota; Metazoa; Chordata; Mammalia; Rodentia; Sciuridae.